CAAUGUUUCCACAGUGCAUCAU
Molecule: non-coding RNA, 22 nt
Filed under: Cervus elaphus (red deer)
Lineage: Eukaryota; Metazoa; Chordata; Mammalia; Artiodactyla; Cervidae
Also listed under: 1 other name
Source: RNAcentral